CAUACCAUUUGCAAUAGUAGACAACCCAAGGUAUUGCAAAUAUGGUAUUUCCAGUCUUUCUUAGUAGCCACUUAGUCACAAACACUGGCCAAAAUUGGCAUUCAAAUUAUUUUUUGCAUUUUUCACACACCAACAAAUAUGAAUUCCAAUUUUGGCCAGUGUUUGUGACUAAGUGGCUACUAAAAAGAAUGGACAUACCCCAUUUACAAUACCUUGGGUUGUCUACUUUUGCAAAUGGUAUG
Molecule: microRNA precursor, 242 nt
Filed under: Pelobates cultripes (western spadefoot toad)
Lineage: Eukaryota; Metazoa; Chordata; Amphibia; Anura; Pelobatidae
Source: RNAcentral